UUUUUAACGGGCUAUGGUAAGGUGGAAACGCAGGACAAAGAGCCCAGCCCUCGUUUCCCGUUCGCUGCCUUCGUCCCCGAUUCCUCUCCCUCUUCCUCAUCUGCCGCCGCCACUCACCGAGCCCUCCGCCACAGCCCAGGCACAACCGCCGCACUCUCCAAGAGCGAACUGCAGGGCGCAUGCCACAUCGAUCGAUUUUACCAUGCUAAAAUAAAAAAAAUUACUCCCUCCUCAUUCGCCCUCUCCCUCGUUUUCUCCUCCCGGCGGCUAGGGUUAGCGCGGCCGCCGCCCCAUCCCUGCUCGCCGCCGCCUCUGCUCCAUCGUCCCAUCCCAUCACUUCCGACGUCGGCCACUGGAGAAGGCGCCCCCCUGAGACCCUCUACUUCCCCAAGCCUUAUAUCUUCGAGUUCCAGCCGGCCACCAUGGUGGUUGCAGAGGACGGGAGCAAGGGGAUGGCAUCGAGGGGCUCUGCCCACUUCUUCGUGCGCGGCCGCCGAUGCAGCUCCACCUCCAUCCCCACGCUUGCAGCCGUGGUGGUUCACGGUGCCGUCGCCGUCUUACUUGGCAGGAGCAACGCGCUCGAUGCUACUCCGAUGUUGCCGUCAAGCGCUGCUUCGCCUUGCUUGUCCCAACUCAGCCAUCGCUGGAGGCCUGCACUUCUGUAGCCAUCUUGUUUACGACUGAUUUUGUUUCUCUAUGCCUACAAGGUGUUCUGUGUCCACUUCCACGGCCCCAAUAUAGCAUGGGAACAUGAGCAAUUCUUGAGGUUUAGGGUGACUGUACUAAGUCUAUGGAAUUGUCCACACCUCCUGAAUUUUUGGAAAGUGCUGGUUGUUUGUAUGACAAUAGGAUUCCAGAUUCAGUGAUUCGUGGUUUUACUCCUUCCGGUGUCCUCUAACUGGCAUCCAUUGAGCUGCUCUGACAUCGACUACAGCAUGGAUGCUCAAUCUGAGGAUGUACAACUUUCAAGGCGCACGGCAGUUUUGAUCAAUUAUCUGCGUCAACACGGAAAGGCGGCGGAGCGAUCUGGAUAAUAUGCCUGGUGUCGGUUUUCUCGCCAUGCUGCGACCAGCACCUCUACAGUGGGAAAGCACACAUGUACCUACUUAUGGUGCUCUUAACUGAAGCCACCAUUGAACCUUAAAUGGUAUCUGGAUGUUUCUAGCCAGAAGACUCGCAACCUCUACUUAUACAAUGGAUUGACUUUGUUUGUCGGAUGGCUGGCCCUUAUCGUCAUGUCAAUCGAACUCUAAUUGAGGGAAUGGCAGCAAAGGAGAUGUUUCACAAGCACCGACAAAACAUGGAGAUUAUGAUUUGGAAGUAGUCGGGGGUCUGGUCAUGGUACGUCGACAGCAAGAAGACGGAUAUUCUUUUUCUGUAAAACAUGACCCUUUGAUUGAUUUGGGUUCACUACUAAACUUUCUAGUGCUUCCUCAUACGACUACCACCUCCGAUUAAUCUCCUUUGGAUUCAGUUAUGUACUUUUGUUUGUUUCCAACUAUUUUUCACUCGGGUUUUUGUGGGUGUUGGUAGCUGGAAUGCAGAGCAUGAAGUGGUGUAAGGUGGUGUUGAUGUGGGACAUUGCAGCUGCUCCCAGAUCAAUUCAAUGUCCAUUUGAAUAUUUUAGUUCCUUUAUGCCUUUGAUUAUAUAUUUUACUGAAUAAUGGGGUUAUACUUGUGGAGAGUACCUGUUUAUAUUUGUUAUGACUAUUCACCUACAAGAGGAGGCAAUUC
RNAcentral lists this ribosomal RNA (1734 nucleotides) under Triticum aestivum (bread wheat). RNAcentral describes it as "partial small subunit ribosomal RNA". Lineage: Eukaryota; Viridiplantae; Streptophyta; Magnoliopsida; Poales; Poaceae. The record is from RNAcentral.